GGAUAGUGCCUAUUAAGCGCUUCCUGUCCAAUGGAUCCUGUUAACUGAUAUAAACAACUGUAUUCAACAUACUAAGUCUGAUUAGGGACAGGAAGUGAUGAUCGACAGAAUAAAUAGCGCACUGUAGACAGCUCAGUACAGCAGUGAAUAUCGCAACACAAGCAAUAAUACUAUUAUGGUUUAUCUGUUAGAACUGCUUAUCUGUUGUUAGUGUUGUUUAUCUGUUACUACAAUGGACAAUUCAUGGCAGCCAAAUGAAUACCGUCCAAGUCUGUUUUUUAAGAGAAGUCUGAUUUUUCAGACUUUUGUUUUGAUGAAUACUGGUGGUGGCAGCAUACUACCAGACCUAGUAUGCUAAAACACAGUUGUAUUAUUUUGUAUCUGAGCCUGUAUUGAACUAUUGAAUAAAGAUUUUGAUGAUUAAUCCAUGUUGACCUGUUUUAAUUUACCAGAUUAGGGACAGGAAGCGUUUUCUUCACCAGUAUCAGACUACCGAUCCUCUACCUCCAGUACGAGGAUCCGAAAUGCUCAUCUAUAUUCUAUUCUUAUAUAGGAAUCCUAUUGAAAACAAGUGCUUUCGAGAACUGAAGGAUUAUUUGUACUAAUUUGAUUUCCAAAUUUGAUGAA
Molecule: long non-coding RNA, 627 nt
Organism: Trachymyrmex septentrionalis
Lineage: Eukaryota; Metazoa; Arthropoda; Insecta; Hymenoptera; Formicidae
Exons: 3
Source: RefSeq, a predicted model, not a curated record